UGGCUCAGAUUGAACGCUGGCGGAAUGCUUUACACAUGCAAGUCGAGCGGCAGCGCGGGGCAACCUGGCGGCGAGCGGCGAACGGGUGAGUAAUGCAUCGGAACAUGUCCAUGUCGUGGGGGAUAGCCCGGCGAUAGCCGGAUUAAUACCGCAUACGCCCGAGAGGGGAAAGCAGGGGGACCGCAAGGCCUUGCGCGAUUGGGUUGGCCGAUGUCCGAUUAGCUUGUUGGUGAGGUAAAGGGCUUACCAAGGCGAUGAUCGGUAGCUGGUCUGAGAGGAUGAUCAGCCACACUGGGACUGAGACACGGCCCAGACUCCUACGGGAGGCAGCAGUGGGGAAUUUUGGACAAUGGGGGCAACCCUGAUCCAGCCAUUCCGCGUGAGUGAAGAAGGCCUUCGGGUUGUAAAGCUCUUUUGUCCGGAGCGAAACGGGCGGCCCUAAUACGGUCGUCUACUGACGGUACCGGAAGAAUAAGCACCGGCUAACUACGUG
RNAcentral lists this ribosomal RNA (493 nucleotides) under uncultured bacterium. RNAcentral's name for it is "bacterial SSU rRNA". It matches the Rfam family "Bacterial small subunit ribosomal RNA", at positions 20 to 507 of the family's 1533-position model. The record is from RNAcentral.